RNAcentral lists this ribosomal RNA (411 nucleotides) under bacterium enrichment culture clone ALO1_GLFRUDD03GVT6S. Its description in RNAcentral is "bacterial SSU rRNA". It matches the Rfam family "Bacterial small subunit ribosomal RNA", at positions 9 to 420 of the family's 1533-position model. The record is from RNAcentral.
GAGUUUGAUCCUGGCUCAGAUUGAACGCUGGCGGCAUGCCUUACACAUGCAAGUCGAACGGCAGCACGGGAGCUUGCUCCUGGUGGCGAGUGGCGAACGGGUGAGUAAUGCAUCGGAACGUAUCCUGGAGUGGGGGAUAACGUAGCGAAAGUUACGCUAAUACCGCAUAUUCUGUGAGCAGGAAAGCGGGGGACCUUCGGGCCUCGCGCUCUUGGAGCGGCCGAUGUCGGAUUAGCUAGUUGGUGAGGUAAAGGCUCACCAAGGCGACGAUCCGUAGCAGGUCUGAGAGGAUGAUCUGCCACACUGGAACUGAGACACGGUCCAGACUCCUACGGGAGGCAGCAGUGGGGAAUUUUGGACAAUGAGGGCAACCCUGAUCCAGCCAUGCCGCGUGAGUGAAGAAGGCCUCGG